RNAcentral lists this ribosomal RNA (447 nucleotides) under uncultured bacterium. RNAcentral describes it as "partial 16S ribosomal RNA". It matches the Rfam family "Bacterial small subunit ribosomal RNA", at positions 338 to 795 of the family's 1533-position model. The record is from RNAcentral.
GCUACGGGGGGCAGCAGUAGGGAAUUUUCGGCAAUGGGGGGAACCCUGACCGAGCAACGCCGCGUGAACGAAGAAGUUAUUCGUAAUGUAAAGUUCUUUUAACAGGGAAGAAAGAGAAAUUUGACGGUACCUGAAGAAUAAGCUCCGGCUAACUACGUGCCAGCAGCCGCGGUAAUACGUAGGUGGCAAGCGUUAUCCGGAAUGACUGGGCGUAAAGGGUGCGUAGGUGGUUUAGUAAGUUGGCGGUGUAAUUCCGGGGCUCAACCUCGGCGCUACCGCCAAAACUAUUAGACUAGAGUGCAGGAGGGGUAAGUGGAAUUCCUAGUGUAGCGGUGGAAUGCGUAGAUAUUAGGAGGAACAUCAGGGGCGAAGGCGACUUACUGGACUGUAACUGACACUGAGGCACGAAAGCGUGGGGAGCAAACAGGAUUAGAUACCCGGGUAGAC